CCCGGUCAUACACAAAACAACUACCUACCAAUCCCAUUCCCACUUGCCACCACGAGUCCACAACUCCACGUCUCCACGAUCGGGAAUCUUCCCGAGCUCCUCUCGAUCCCGUGCUCUCUCACCGUCUCUCUCUACCCGAUGCCACCUCUCCCCCAAGUCUCCAUCACCUGUGCGCCGCCACUCGCCGGCGGACAGCCCGUCAGCGGCCAUACCCUCCCUGAGCUCCCCCCUCUCCCUCUCCUCCCUCCUCCCUCCACCCCUCCGACGCGACCUCAGAUCCGGCGCGCUAGGCAGGGACACAAGAGAGGAGGGAGGCGACGGCAACCUCGAGCAGUCGAGCCCUGGUUCGUCCUCGACGACGUCAAGCUGUGCCAUGCCAAAAUCGAGCUCCGCAACCUUUCCGAGGAACGCACCACCCAUAGUUUCAGGAAAUCUCUGGCUACAUGCUUCCACUCUGUUUUCCUUAUCUGUUGACCUUGUUGCAUCUGAUGAAACACCUUACCAACGUUCCUACGUUGUCGUGUGGAUCUGCGUGCUUCGACCAUUGUGCUUGACUUCUCAACACAUAGAUGUGCGCUGCCAUGAUUAGACCUCCAGCAUAUCUGGUAUGUGGUAGCAUCGGCGUUAUGAUAAAGAUAAUCUAUCGCCUUGGGCAUAAGCAUCUCGUCAAGUUGGUCAGGAUGAACAUUGACAUGUGUGAGGUGUUGUUGCUUCUCUCCGUUGAUCACCUCUAUCGCAGAGCCGGCCUCGCCUGCAGACUUCGGGUCAUCCUCCAUAGAAUCAUGAGGCAGGAUUAGAAUUCCGAGCUUCAAAGGGGGGAAAUUCUCCAGAGAAGCAGUCGCGUCAUCACAGCUAAUGGAGGUUGCAAUUGAUGAUACCGGCUGUAAGUUAUUGUACUCAGAGAGUGAGAUGUAACGCUGCAAAAACACUUGGCAAACUGGUUCUGGAAAUUUGUUUCUCCUACCGCUGCUAUUAUUGUUGACGCCAUUGACGAUGCCACAAGAAGGUGAGUCUUUGUGCUCGUAUCCUUGACAACAUAAUGGAUCCGGACGGAACCAUCUAGUCAAAGUUAUAUGGAUGUGA
Brachypodium distachyon (stiff brome) is the source of this 1083-nucleotide long non-coding RNA. RefSeq lists it as uncharacterized. The record is from RefSeq and is a predicted model, not a curated record. The transcript is spliced from 2 exons. NCBI's taxonomy places the organism in Eukaryota, Viridiplantae, Streptophyta, Magnoliopsida, Poales, Poaceae.